Molecule: transfer RNA, 83 nt
Filed under: Firmicutes bacterium HGW-Firmicutes-12
Lineage: Bacteria; Bacillati; Bacillota
Description: tRNA-Leu
Rfam family: tRNA
About the family: Transfer RNA (tRNA) molecules are approximately 80 nucleotides in length. Their secondary structure includes four short double-helical elements and three loops (D, anti-codon, and T loops). Further hydrogen bonds mediate the characteristic L-shaped molecular structure. tRNAs have two regions of fundamental functional importance: the anti-codon, which is responsible for specific mRNA codon recognition, and the 3' end, to which the tRNAs corresponding amino acid is attached (by aminoacyl-tRNA synthetases). tRNAs cope with the degeneracy of the genetic code in two manners: having more than one tRNA (with a specific anti-codon) for a particular amino acid; and 'wobble' base-pairing, i.e. permitting non-standard base-pairing at the 3rd anti-codon position.
Source: RNAcentral
GCGGGAGUGGCGGAAUUGGCAGACGCGCUGGACUUAGGAUCCAGUGGGCAACCGUGGGGGUUCAAGUCCCUUCUCCCGCACCA